AGAGUUUGGUUCAUGGCUCAGGAUGAACGCUGGCGGCGUGCCUAAUACAUGCAAGUCGAGCGAACUGACGAGGAGCUUGCUCCUUUGACGUUAGCGGCGGACGGGUGAGUAACACGUGGGUAACCUACCUAUAAGACUGGAAUAACUCCGGGAAACCGGGGCUAAUGCCGGAUAACAUAUCGAACCGCAUGGUUCGAUAGUGAAAGACGGUCUUGCUGUCACUUAUAGAUGGACCCGCGCCGUAUUAGCUAGUUGGUGAGGUAACGGCUCACCAAGGCAACGAUACGUAGCCGACCUGAGAGGGUGAUCGGCCACACUGGAACUGAGACACGGUCCAGACUCCUACGGGAGGCAGCAGUAGGGAAUCUUCCGCAAUGGGCGAAAGCCUGACGGAGCAACGCCGCGUGAGUGAUGAAGGUCUUCGGAUCGUAAAGCUCUGUUGUUAGGGAAGAACAAAUGUGUAAGUAACURUGCACAUCUUGACGGUACCUAACCAGAAAGCCACGGCUAACUACGUGCCAGCAGCCGCGGUAAUACGUAGGUGGCAAGCGUUAUCCGGAAUUAUUGGGCGUAAAGCGCGCGUAGGCGGUUUUUUAAGUCUGAUGUGAAAGCCCACGGCUCAACCGUGGAGGGUCAUUGGAAACUGGAAAACUUGAGUGCAGAAGAGGAAAGUGGAAUUCCAUGUGUAGCGGUGAAAUGCGCAGAGAUAUGGAGGAACACCAGUGGCGAAGGCGGCUUUCUGGUCUGUAACUGACGCUGAUGUGCGAAAGCGUGGGGAUCAAACAGGAUUAGAUACCCUGGUAGUCCACGCCGUAAACGAUGAGUGCUAAGUGUUAGGGGGUUUCCGCCCCUUAGUGCUGCAGCUAACGCAUUAAGCACUCCCGCCUGGGGAG
This 893-nucleotide ribosomal RNA is filed under the name Staphylococcus chromogenes. RNAcentral describes it as "bacterial SSU rRNA". The record is from RNAcentral. Lineage: Bacteria; Bacillati; Bacillota; Bacilli; Caryophanales; Staphylococcaceae.